AUGGAGAACGGCGGCAGCAAAGGCGACGUCCCGGAGGACGCCAACGCCCGUAAGUCUCGAUUAUCCCGUCCGUGUUCCCCCUUCUUCUUUGGAUUCGGGCCGAUUUGCCCGUCCGCGUUCUCCUGCUUUCUAGGUCGUCCUGCCAUGGAAGAAGGGGUGCCUUGUGAGCUUGAUUGUUUAUGUGCCUCUUGCUUAGAUUGCCCUGGAACGCAGUCGGAGGAGGCAGGGAAGGCCGAUUCCUGCGCCGGGUGCCCGAACCAGCAGAUUUGCGCCACCGCCCCCAAGGGCCCCGAUCCUGACUUGGUUGCUAUUGCUGAGCGGAUGGCUACUGUGAAACACAAGAUACUGGUUUUGUCAGGAAAGGGAGGUGUUGGAAAGAGCACAUUUUCAGCCCAGCUCUCAUUUGCCCUAGCUGAAAUGGACCAUCAGGUUGGCCUUCUCGACAUAGAUAUAUGCGGCCCUAGCAUCCCAAAAAUGUUAGGCCUUGAAGGCCAGGAUAUUCAUCAGAGCAACCUUGGGUGGUCACCAAUCUACGUUGAGUCCAACCUUGGUGUCAUGUCGAUUGGUUUUAUGCUGCCUAACCCAGAUGAUGCUGUCAUAUGGAGGGGUCCUCGCAAGAACGGAUUGAUCAAACAGUUUCUCAAGGAUGUUGACUGGGGAGAGAUUGACUACCUUGUAGUGGAUGCACCCCCUGGAACAUCAGACGAGCACAUCUCAAUCGUCCAGUACCUACAAGCCACCGAAGUUGAUGGCGCGAUAAUCGUGACGACCCCGCAGCAAGUUUCUCUAAUAGACGUGAGGAAGGAGAUCAAUUUCUGCAAGAAGGUGGGCGUGCCAGUGUUGGGGGUUGUGGAGAACAUGAGUGGCUUGAGGCAGGCGUUCACAGACCUUAAAUUCGUAAAGCCAGGUCUCGCCGGGGAGAUAGACGCCACAGAGUGGGCGAUGAACUAUAUCAAGGAGAAGGCUCCGGAGCUUUUGUCGGUCGUGGCCUGCAGCGAGGUGUUUGACAGCAGCAAGGGCGGCGCGGAGAAGAUGUGCCAUGAGAUGGGGGUACCUUUCCUGGGUAAGGUGCCGAUGGACCCGCAGCUGUGCAAGGCAGCCGAGGAAGGGAGGUCGUGCUUCGCCGAUCAGAGGUGCAGCGCCAGCGCACCGGCUCUGAAAAGCAUAAUCGACAAGCUGAUCAAAACCAAGUAA
Molecule: ribosomal RNA, 1194 nt
Filed under: Triticum aestivum (bread wheat)
Lineage: Eukaryota; Viridiplantae; Streptophyta; Magnoliopsida; Poales; Poaceae
Description: partial small subunit ribosomal RNA
Source: RNAcentral